Molecule: transfer RNA, 70 nt
Filed under: Cordylochernes scorpioides
Lineage: Eukaryota; Metazoa; Arthropoda; Arachnida; Pseudoscorpiones; Chernetidae
Description: tRNA-OTHER
Rfam family: tRNA
About the family: Transfer RNA (tRNA) molecules are approximately 80 nucleotides in length. Their secondary structure includes four short double-helical elements and three loops (D, anti-codon, and T loops).
Source: RNAcentral
CCAUCGGUGGUUCAGUGGUAGAAUGCUCGCCUGCACGCGGGCGGCCCUGGUUCGAUUCCCGGCCGAUGCU